ACUGCUCAGUAACACGUAGUUAAUCUACCCUACAGCCCGUGAUAUCGUCGGGAAACUGACGUUAAUAACGGAUAGAGGAUUUUUUCUGGAAUGAUUAAUCCUCCAAAAUUCGCGGUAGGAUGAGACUGCGGCUGAUUAGGUAGUUGGCGGAGUAACGGCCCACCAAGCCGAUGAUCAGUAAGGGCCUUUAGCGAGGAAACCCUGAGAGGGAAUCUGAGACACUAUUCCCAGUCCUACGGGAUGCAGCAGUCGGGAAUUUUUUGCAAUGCGCGCAAGCGUGACAGAGCGAGCCAAAGUGCUUCUCUAUAAUUGAGAAGCUUUUGCGGGAUGUAAAUAGUCUCGUGAAUAAGGACCGGGCAAGACUGGUGCCAGCCGCCGCGGUAAUCCCAGCGGUCCAAGUCGCAGCCACAAUUAUUGGGUCUAAAACAUCCGUAGCUUGCUUUGUAAGUUUCUUGUGAAAUCUGGCCUCUUAAGGGUCGGUCGGGCAAGAAAUACUGCGAAGCUAGAGACCGGGAGGCGCAUGGAGUACACAUAGGGUAGCGGUAAAAUGCGUUGAUCCUUUGUGGACUAACAAUCGCGAAGGCACCGUGCGAGAACGGAUCUGACAGUGAGGGAUGAAGGCUAGGGGCGCAAAGUGGAUUAGAUACCCAUGUAGUCCUAGCAGUAAACACUGCACACUAAACAUUGGGGCCUCCUCGAGAGGUUUCAGUGCUGUAGCGAAGGCGAAGAGUGUGCUACCUGGGAAGUAUAGUCGCAAGACCGAAACUUAAAGGAAUUGGCGGGGGAGCAC
This 790-nucleotide ribosomal RNA is filed under the name uncultured archaeon. RNAcentral's name for it is "bacterial SSU rRNA". It matches the Rfam family "Archaeal small subunit ribosomal RNA", at positions 85 to 879 of the family's 1478-position model. The record is from RNAcentral.